This is a non-coding RNA of Microcebus murinus (gray mouse lemur), 3238 nucleotides long. NCBI's taxonomy places the organism in Eukaryota, Metazoa, Chordata, Mammalia, Primates, Cheirogaleidae. The record is from RefSeq and is a predicted model, not a curated record.
ACAUAUUGGGUUUUGUCCAUAUUCUGGGUCAUAACUCCCAGGUGCUGCAGGCCUCAGAAAACAUAAUCUCGCUCUCGUCUUCCCGUGCCCUCCUUUCACCUGCCCAAGGCAAGACCCUGAUCCCAUUGUGGGUCAUAAGACCUUCUUUCCCUGGAGGGCCCCAUACCCAGGAGGAAGGCAUGCUUCACAAAGAGGCCAUGGAGAAUCUGAAGACAGGCCUUGCUGGGCUUCCCCAGUCUAUUGGUAUUAGAUCAUACCCUUUCUGUCCAGUCACAUUUCAGCACAGUUGCCCAUGCUUCAGUCAUGCCUAUCCAAUGAAGUCUCCAUGAAAGGCCCAAGAGAACAGGGUUUGGGGAGCUUCCAGAGAGCUGAACGUGAGCAGGCUGACUGGAAAGUGAACAAGAACCCAUCCACGUGGCGGGCCGGGUACACUCCAACCCCCUGGGGACAGAAGCUUCUGCACUCAGGAACCUUGCAGACCUCGCCCUAUUGUCUUUUCAGCUGGCUGUUGUUUGUAUCCUUUAGAAUAUAGUUUGUAAUAAACCAGUAAGUGUGUGAUCCCUGAGUUACAUGAGCCACUGUAGCAAAUUAAUCAAAGCCAAAGAUAGAAGUCGUGGGAAUCCCAGUUGAAGCCUGUCGGUCAAAGGGCAGUCUUGUGGGACUGAGCCCUCAACCUGUGGUUUCUAAGACUGCCUACAGGUAGAUAACAUCAGAAUGUAAGUGGGUGGCUGGUGUACACUGCAGAAUUCAUUGUCGCUUGGUGUAUGGGAAGAAACCCACACGUUUGGACACAGUGAUCCAUUGUUGCCGAGUGAACGCAGUUUGCGUUGAUGUUUUUCUGCACUCAUGGGCUCUGUCACCGUUGAUGCUGUGGUGCAGGGAACUAGCCUGGGGUGCUCUUGGCUAUUUUUCACGCGCCAUUCUGGGGAUGCCCUUAGCGUUAGGGGCUGGCGUGUGGAUUUGACAGCUCACUAGAGCUGGAUGUAGAUGCAACUUUUCCGCCACGUGUAAUUUCUGUCCACAGAGGAGCUGUUGAGAGCUGUUCUUGCCAAGCUUUCCAACAUUCUCAGCUGCUGGGUAGUGGGUGCAGAGCAGAGCAGAGCGCUGGCGUCACUCAGCUCCUUGACUGUGUCCCUCCACCACAGGCCACUCCUGCAGGCCGUGGAGUACACCAGGCUGGCCAGGAUACUGCCUGCCUCUGGGAGCGCACACCAGAGAGUACUGAAGAGCACUGGAAGGAGCAGUUUGUUUUGAGCAGCAAUGAUCGAAUUUUAAUAAUUGGAGAAUUGAAGGAAGAGUCUGUAUGUUAUCAUCAAUAUUCGGUCUUUGUCCCAGGGUCCUGGACACAGGGCUCCUAAAACCCUUGGAAUUUCCCAAAUGUUAAGAGUAUCUAUUAUUAUUUUUAAUAGUCACCUUUUGAUCCAACCUGAGUUUAUGCUAAUGAGGUGACUUAGGUGGGACCGUUGAUAGCCUCAGGAUGGGCUGUCACCAAAAACACUAUGUGAUCAGAGAAUGGGGACUUUCAGCCCCUUGUAUUGACCUCCUAGGAGUAAGGGGGCACUGCAAAUAGCUCUUUAAAAACUUUAAUGGGAUCCGGUGAACUUGGGUUGCCCCCCAUCCCCUGCCCAGUUCAUCUCUUCCACUUGGCUGCUCUGCACUGUAUCCUUUAUGAUAAACCAGUGUGAGUACAGCAUCUCCCUGAGUUCUGUGAAUCAUUCGAGCAAAUUAUUGAACCUGAGUGGGUGCUGGGGUCGUGGGAACCCCUGAAUUGGGGGUUGGCCAGGCAGAAACACAGUAGUCCAGGUGCUGUGGCUGCCAUCUGAAGUGGGGACAGUCUUGCGGGACUGAGCCUCUGUGGAACCUGAGGCUGACUCCAGGUGGAAAGUGUCAGAAUUGAAUUGUUGGAGGCCCAGUUGGUGUCAGAGAAGUGCUGCUGGGAAACGCCACACAGCAUUCCAGGCUGAGGUAAAAAUAACAAAUAACGAGUGUCCUACUCCGGUAGAGGUCCUCCAGCCCGGUUCGCUGCGCCUCCGCGGCUGCCCGCCCCAGAGCUCAGGUCCCCCAAAAUCAUAAAAGCAGGAAAACGCAAGACAAAGAAAUCCAACAAGGCUAGUGAUUUCAGCCAUAUGGCGAAUUGGCCAACACCGAGUGAAUUAGUGAACACUGGAUGUCAGAGUGUCAUCAGCCAAGGAAAUAAGAAACUACAAAAUAGAAAAGAAAAAGAAGAAAAGGUUGAAAAGAGAAGUAACAGUGAGAGCAAAGAAAACAGGGAAACUAAAUUAGAUGGUCCUGGCGAAAAUGUCAGUGAGGAUGAGGCUCAGUCAAGUAAUCAACGAAAGAGAGCUAAUAAGCACAAGUGGGUACAUCAUCUAAGUCACUUAGAUGAUGUAAGACCAGACAGUUAAGAAGACCUGGAUCCCAGAACAGCUCAAGGUGUCAACCUGAAGCAAAUAAACCAGCACAUAACAAUAGGAGAAAUGAUACAUGAAGUUGGAGGAGAGACAGAGAAAAGAGAUGAUCAAGAUGAAGUUUCCAGUGUGAGAAGUGAGGGUGGUAAUAUCCAAGGUUCCUUUAGAGGCCGAGGACGGAGAAGAGGACGAGGCAGAGGAAAUCCUCGAUUGAACUUUGAUUAUUCAUAUGGUUAUCGAGAACAUGGUGAAAGGACUGAUCAACCAUUUCAAACAGAAGUUAAUACCAGUAUGAUAUAUUACUAUGAUGAUGGUACAGGUGUACAGGCGUAUCCUGUGGAAGAAGUAUUGCUUAAAGAGUAUAUUAAGCGUCAAAUUGAAUAUUACUUCAGUAUAGAAAACUUGGAACAGGACUUCUUUCUUCGGAGAAGGAUGGAUGAACAAGGUUUCUUGCCUAUUUCCCUGAUUGCUGGUUUUCACUGUGUUGAGGCUCUCACUACAAACCUUAAUCUCAUCUUAGAGGCACUGAAAGAUAGCACAGAAGUAGAAAUUGUGGAUGAGAAAAAAGAUAGAACCAGAAAAAUGGCCAAUUCCAGGUCCUCCUCCAUGUAAUGUGCCACAAACAGACUUCUCUCAACUGAUUGAUUGUCCAGAGUUUGUACCAGGCCAAGCCUUUUAUUCACAUACAGGUAACAACUUUUCUUCUAGAACAAACAACGUAACAGUAGGUUAUUUGGUCCAAUUUGUCUAUCCUUUUUUUAGUUUAUUUAGAUUCAGUAAGAAAAUUUAUGAUAAAUGACUGGAUGCUCCAAAUUGUAUUCAUACUGCCU